CACCGGCAGCUCUAGUGGUAGCAGUUUUUAUUGGGCCCUAAAGCGUCCGUAGCCGGUUUAAUAAGUCUCUGGUGAAAUCCUGUAGCUUAACUGUGGGAAUUGCUGGAGAUACUAUUAGACUUGAGACCGGGAGAGGUUAGAGGUACUCCCAGGGUAGAGGUGAAAUUCUGUAAUCCUGGGAGGACCGCCUGUUGCGAAGGCGUCUAACUGGAACGGUUCUGACGGUGAGGGACGAAAGUUAGGGGCGCGAACCGGAUUAGAUACCCGCGUAGUCCCUGAGCGGGCUGGCAAGG
RNAcentral lists this ribosomal RNA (293 nucleotides) under uncultured prokaryote. Its description in RNAcentral is "partial 16S ribosomal RNA". It matches the Rfam family "Archaeal small subunit ribosomal RNA", at positions 474 to 771 of the family's 1478-position model. The record is from RNAcentral.